UGACAAUGAAAUAUGGGGUAUGUCUGUCUAUAAUGGUGGUGGUGGUGAGGGUCAGCUUGCUCAUAGGAGGCAAUCAGUCUCUCCCCUUUCCUGACCAUUUCCUCUUCCUUACCAGGAACUCUCUCACUUUCCUUACAUUCAUAUAUUGUGGAUAUUCAAAGUUUAGCCCAUCUAAAUCUUGAGACAUAAGCUAUCCAAGUCCUCAGGAGAGAUGGGAUUUUGCAGUCAGUCAAUAAACAUUUAUUAUGUGCCAAGAAUUGUGCUAAACUCUAGAAUAUAAAGACAAAAUUCAAUUUCUGCCCUCAAAAACAUAUUCUAUCCAUAUCCAUAGAGAUGGAAGUAGUCUUAGGGAAAAUAGUCAUAGAUUAUCUCAAAGAUUUCUAAUCUUUGUGCUGUGGACUGACUCUAUAAAUAGAUUGGUGAGGAUAUGCACCCUUUCUCAGAAUAAUGUUUUAAAAGUAUAAAAAUACCUAGGAUUACAUAGGAAACAAAUACAUAUACACAUAUACAUGGAUGCCUUUAAAAAUAUUCAAAGAAGAGGUUCAAUAUGAUUUAUCUGUAAAUGUUUAUGUAUUCAUAUAUAUUUAUAUAUGUGGACACAUACACUAAUAUUCAUGUAUAUGUUCAUAUAUACAUACAUAUGCACACAUAUGUACACACACAAAUUCCCAGACUCCAUGCAUUUUAAGAACUUCUGAUUCUAGCCCAACUUUUUCAUUUUAAAGGUAAGGAAAUUGAAGUUCAGAGAGAUUAGGAAAGGAUUUGCUCAAAAUCAUGUUAGGUGGGCAGUGGGGCAGAUGAGACUAAUGCUCAAUUCUCUAGAAUGUCAAUUUUGGAGCUUCUGUAAAGACCCUGAGCAAUAUCAGUAUAACAAAAUUGUCCUGGUGUGGGGCAUUACUCGGCUUGACUGCAUUGAAUUUCCAGUUUUGUUGAAAUUCCAGUUUCUAGCCAGUUCUUGGCUAUCCCUUAAUUUUAACUCUAAGGUAGUUUUCUCCUUCUUUAAUAGGCAAAUAAAUUUAUUUGAGGGAUCAAGGAUCUGGCUCUACUUUAGGACUUUCUGUAAUUCAUUUCUCCCCACUCCCAUUUGACCCCAUUGAAGAAUUUUUUUCUCCCUUUCUUCCUAUCCCUCCUCUUUGGGUCUCUGUGUGUUCACAUCUGCAUACAGCCUAGUAAAGAACUAUUUUGGGAUUCAAUUAGGGUCUGCUCUCAUCUUCUUGCCAGGGUCCCUCACAAAUUUAUUAUCCACUCUGCCUUGGUUCCAAAUUAAAGCCAUCAUCUAUAAUAGUUCACCAGAUUUGGGGAGCUUUUCCUUUUGAUACUAGUGACACUGAGAACUGACUUGUGAACUCCCAGGCAGCAGGAGAAUAUUAAUGGUAAGUCGUUGGCCAUUUACCCUGCCCCCCGCCCCUCUCACUUCACUGGGGAGAACUCUGGGAGGUCUGUAAGGUCGGGAUAGAUCUAUAUUGUAAGAGGCAGUGAGACUGAAAUAGCAUUACUAUUCCAUUUGGGUCUGUUGUCGUACUUAAAACAAAAAGACUAUUAUGAAGCCCAUAGAUCAGCUGCCGUAAAAGCUUCCAUAAAGCCCUGAUCGCUAUAUGAGGUUAUAACAGCAGUGUUAAUCUUCUCUACAGUGUUUACACAGCUAGCUCAUCCAUGGUGUCGCUGGACUUGGGCCAGCUUGCUAGAGAACAUUCUUGAUUAAAAAAUGUAAAAGUUGUGUUGCUUUAAGCAGUGACCCUAGGAGUUUACAUAUACCUGGGUUAUCAGUUCCCUCAUAAUUCAUGGAUCUGAAUUGCAAAUUUGGGGGAGGCUGGUUUGGAUUUCACACUCUUGUGAUUCAGUUGGGGCAAAGGAUUUAAUUACACUGCCAGUCCAGCAUGGAGGUAUCAGCCCAGGCUUCUCAACAAGGAAACCAAAUCUAUUUUGGAGAUGCAUGUCAAUUUUAUCCCCCCCCCCUUCCAGAUGCAUGUCAAUUGCCCCCCCCCUUUUCAUAGAAACUUUUUGGGCUUCUGAUUGGUUUUCCAAAUUAGAUAAGGAAGUUUAUGGUUCACACUCGGAACUGAGGUUCUCCCAAUGCCACACUAGUUAACUGGGAUCCUUACAAGAAAUGGUUAUCCCAGUAAUAAACUUGGAAGUGUUUUUGACCCAUUGACAUUUUGAAAGCAGGUCAUUUAUAGGGGGAGAAGAAGCAUUUUAACUAUUUAAAAUGUAAACUCAUAAGCACAUGAAAGCUGAAAGAGAUCAAAACUAAUUUUUUCCUCCUCCAUAAAAUGAGAAAAAUAAUAGCAGCUUCCUCCUAGGUUGUUGCCAAGAACAAAUCAGAGGAUAUUUGCAAAGCACAUUAUUAUUGUUGUUAUUAUUAUUUCCUUUAUCAGAUUCAUGUUUUCCUUUCCUACUUCCAAUCCUCCCUCCACCCAUUGCAAUAGACACUUCUGCCUUUUUUUCCCCCCUGAAUUUUUAUGUUGUCCUUUUAAUAGCCAACCCUCAAUUGGAAUGAGGAUGGAAAAGCAAAAUUUAUUUAGAAAGAUAAUUUUUCCCAUGACCAUAGAAAUGAUCAGUAUCCUAAAGGUUUCUUCCCCCCAUCCCUAAACAUUCUAUCUUUAGCUUUUCUCUUAAUAAACCCUGAAAAACUAUAAAUCCCCAAAUCCUCCUCAUCCAGUCUAAUUUCACUAAUUUCAAUCUAUUUUGUUUAUUUAUUUGUUUUGGGGAAACAGCCUUUAGAUAGGCUGGCAACUGUUAUUAUUUUUUAAAACCCAAUUUGUGUUUGAUACACGUUUAGAAAUGUCAAUCUCCAUCUUUCUUCAAUUGUCCAAUCUGACUGAAAAAUAGUCUCUGAUGAAAAUUUUGCAUAUCGUAUCUAUGUCUUAACUCCAACAUUUAGACAAUCUGCCAAGAAAACAUUUUGCUUUUGAUCUUGAAAUAAAGGGGGAAAAAACAACCAAAAACCACUUGCUUUUACAAUCAUGGAAAGAAAAGCAUUUCUUUUAAGAAAACCCAGGUUAGCAGGACAAAAGCAUCAUGGCAUGUGAUCUGUUGAAAGACAUUUGGAAAAUGAAAGUCUUGCCUAAAGUAUAACUUAAUCUCACUGGGGCAAUGGGCACAAUCUGGAAUGUCUUGCUCGGGCACACAUUAGUGACUUUGCCAACUUCCUGGAGGUUCAUGUCGGAUUCUGCAAAAGGACUGCAUUUCCUUUUGGAAUGGGGACUGAGAAAGAGAGGCAGCAGAGGCCCGGGUCCACCAGUAAAUUUCUCCAUCUCUCUCUCUCCUCUCUCUCUAUUCCCCUUUCUCAACACUACUCCCUCUCUUUCAUUUCCUUUUUUCUCUCUUCACCCUCUUAUUGUAUCCCCUUUUUCCUCAAUCCCUCUCUUUUUUUCUCUUUCUCUCUCCCUCACCCUCUCUGUCUCUUCCUUUUCUUUAUCUUUCCUCUCUCUGUCUCUCUGUUUCUGUUUGCCCCUCUCUGUUUCUAUCUGUCUUUGUCUGUGUUCCUCUCCCUCUCCCUCUCUCCCCUCUUUCUAUUUCCCUUUCUCUCCAGUCCUCUCUACCCCCUUUCCCCAUCCCUCUCUCUUUCUUCCUCUCCCUCUAUCUCUUUAUCUUUUCCCUGCUCCUUGAUCUUUUCCCAUAUCUUUCUCUCUCCUCUCCUACCCCCACCUACCUGUUCCUAUAAGACGUCCUUCUGUGAUUAUCUCCAAAAAUUGACCACUCUGCCUUCAAGAUGGCUCUAUAUAUGCUGAAAGACCAGUGAUGUCACCAUGUGGAUACUUCCUGGAAUGAUGCAGGCGGAAACCCCUCUCUGUCCCAUGGAGAUGGUUUUGACCAUAAAUCGCAUCUACCUGCCUGCCUUUCCCCUCCAGUCACUGAUAAAGGAUGGGAUGAUCCAACAAAGAAGCCAUGUGCCAUCAUCUCAGCACCAGCUCUGACACUGUUCCAAGAUUUUGGCCAUCGCUGAGGCUCCAUUCCAUGACCCGCAUAAAGAUGCCACAGCCACCAAUGACCAUAACUAAUAACACCUGCUUGGUGAACUCAGGGAGCCCAAGAAUGGAAUGGAGGCAGCUUGGUAAGAAAUUCCAUCGCUGCAAUAUGGAAGUGUUUAAGCCUGGCCAACACCAGUCAGGGUAGCAGAGAUCUGAACCUUUAAAUUACCGCCAUUCCCUGCCUGAGGGAAAAGUAAAUAAACAAUUCACAGCUGCAUCACCUAAACACAGAAACACAGCUAUCUCUUUGGGGCUGUGAUUGCUGAACAAGUAAUUAAGUGGGAAAUGUGAGCCCUCAAUGUCAGUGUGACAUGAUAAAGGUCUCAGGCUGUAAAUUAACUGAACCCCAGAGAGACCUGGGGAUUAACCCUUGCAGCCAGGAGAGGUGAGAGCAGUCUUAUCAGCCCAAAGUGUCAGCUUCAUGGAAAUGGGAUGCAAUAUAGGCCAUGGAUCCAACACUCUGAACUCACCAGGGCUGUUUUUAUCUGAUUAUUUAAACGCUCUGGAAUUUGGAUGACUUCCCUGUGGAGCCCUUGUAAACGCUCAAGGGAAAGGUAGACUGAGUAAGGCUUGGAGAGUGAAAUUCCUUGGGUUUAGUACUUCUCUCAAGGAACCAAUUAAACACCUAUUUUGUUGUUGUUGUUUUUAGAAAUUGGCGAUGUCCAAUAGUAUACGAGGGGCUAGGUUUCUAAAUGGAAAAAAAAAUGCUUAAAGGUUGGGUUAGGAGCACGUUUGUAAUGAGAUAAUUGGACAAACAACAUCUGGCUGGAAGUUAGCUAAUUUGAGUUUCAAUUUUGUUUUCAAUAGUUCUAGUUCUGUGACUUUGGUUGACUUAACUUUUUAGAACCUCAGCUUCUCCAUUUGUGAAAGGAUUAUAGGGAUGAUAGCUCACAUGUAAGCAUGGCUUUCAGGUUUACAAAGCAUCUUACACACAUUUUCUUGUUGGAGAGGUAGUAUGCAUUUGGAAUCAAAGUGCCUUGCAUUGAAUCAUGACUAUGGGUGCUGAUUACCUGUGGGAUGACCUUGUGCAAGUCAGUUCACAGGUUCCUCAUCAGUAAGAUAAGAGGAUUGGAUAAUAUUGUCCCUAUGGUCCAUACUGUACAAUGGAACAAGUCAGCUCCAGGGUCAGACAACUUCGGUUCAAAUCUCAACUCUGCUGCUUAGUACCUUAGGCAUCUCACCCAACUGACCUGGACUUCAGUUUCCUCAAAGAGUUGAACCAGAAGACUUCCGAGUUAGUUUUCUCAUAGCGCUAUACUUAUAAUCCUUCCACUAUCUAUUACUCUUUUGUUUUUCCAACAAACCUAUUAGACCAGUUGAGUAUUAUACCCUCAUAGAAAAAGUAACAGUUUUUAGAAGGGAUUUCCUCAGAGAAGUAAACUCACAUUUUACUUUACAUACCUCACAGGGCUUUUAUCUAUGUCAAGUAAGAGCAUCUAAGUGUUCUAUUUUGGUAGAGUUCUGUUUAAAUAGAAAUUAUAAUAAUUAUUACUAUUAUUAUUAUUAUCAUAAGUAUCAUAGUAUGCCUUAAAGAAAAGUGAUAGCUUUCCCCCUCCUUGGAUAGACAGACUUCUCCAUAGACAGAGGGAUUCAGAAUAGAAAAUAUGAGCUCCAUAUGACAAAUAAAGGAAUAGAUUGGAAUAUGCUUUGAUGGAAAUCACUAGAAAUUAGUGGGAGACUGUGAGAACUGUUAUGGUAAUAGAGAAAAAGACAUUUGGUUGGGAGAUUUUUUGGUUCAUUCUUGUUGGUAAUUUAUAAUGUUAACUUGGGGCAAACUGACUAAGGGGACUUAUGGGACCCAGUUCUCUGCUCCAUGAAAUAAGAAGGUUGGACUAGAUCAGGAAUUGUUGCCCCAGAAUCCACAGACUCCCAAGAAAACCAGGCAAAAAUUUUAGGGGCUUUAUGAACUUGGAUAGUUCCUUGGAUAGGAAAAUAAUUCAUCUUAAUUUUCACUAACAUCUAACUGAAUGAAUUCAAUUAUGAAUACAGGUAAUAUAUCACUGAAAUAUUAAGGUUGUCCAGACUACCAAAGGGGUUCAUUAAACAAAAAAAAAUGUUAGGAACUCCUGGACUCUGUGAUUUCUAAGGAUCCAUCUCCAACAUUCUGUACUCUGAGAUUUUUUUUUUGCUCUGGUAUUCUCUUAUGCAGGUAUUUUCUUGUUCUAGAGUUCUGUGGAUUUUGAAGGCUGUUUCAAGGGCUAAAGCAAUAUUGAUUUUCAGGACACUUUUGGAUUUUGGAGCAGUCUGAAAUACCUCAGCAAGCAUCAUUAUGAAAGCAUUUGGUAAUUCAGAUCAUGGAAUGUGCAGAGAUGCUUCCCCCCCACCUACCAUAUUCUCUUCCCAUCUCUCCAUCCCCUGGUCAAACAUUUUGACACUUUUUAAAUGUGACAUUUUUAUUGCUUUGAUGGACAAGGAGGCAGGGAAAAGAUAGGGUGAAGAAUUUCAUAGUUUAUUUCUGUUCUACUGGCUCUACCCACCCAAAGAUCAAGUCAUCUGAAUCUCAGUCAUUGCUUUUAAUCUGAUGCCCCUAUACUUGGGGAGAAAUUUUCUGGGAAAAAAGAAAUGUUUGUAUUACGAGAAACGUGGAUAUUCUCUUUCAAGGUGCUAAAUUUGUGCUGAGCUGGUUCAAAAUACGACUGCAUCUGGUUAUGUCUGGUGUCUACUACUCAAAAAAUGUCUUAAAUUCCAGACAACCUCUUGGGUUUAGAAAUAAAAGUCAUCAAUCCAGCAUUUGAAUUUAAUAUUUGAAACUGUAUUCUAAUCUCUCUCUUUUUUGUCUUCCACAUGAAUUAAUUUUGCAAAAGUUGGACAGAAACAAAGUUUUUUUUUUUUAAUUUUCCAAGAGAACAUUCUUAACAGAAUGGUAUAAAUAAAAUAAGGUUUGACCUGAAUGUUUACAAUUUUUCAUCUGAUCUGGAAAGGUUGUAGACCUUUCUAUAAAAAUCUUACUCUUAUCCCUCCCUGCACCCCUACUUUCUUCCCUUCAUGAAAAAAUUGUAUUUUCUAAAGGUGAUACAGCUGCUUGGAUGCAUAUUAAAUGUUAGGGUUUUUUUUUUUUUUUUGAUUAACUGAUAAGCUUUUAUUGAAAAUCACUGGAGGGAGAUGAGUUAAUAUUGCAAGUAGCCUGAACCAGCUCUGUCUAGAUUUAUAUGCCAUUGACAUUAUUUUGAAAGAGCUGAGCAACCCAUAUAUAGAUACUUAUCCAUAUAUGCACAUAUGCACACACACACACACACACACACACAAGUACACAUAAUUUUGCCAGAAUUCACACAUAAGUACAUGGAACUAUCUAGAAUUAUAUAAGCAUUUCAAAAAUAUUUCAAAUGAUCUUUAGAAGUAAGCUUCUUAUGAAUAAGAAUUGUUUCAUUAUUUAUAUCUAUAACAUCUAGCCUGAACAACCCUGAGGAAGAGCCAAGAGGCACAUGCCAGUUAUAUCAAAAUACUACCACUACCUCAACUACCAAAUCCUUUAAACUUAGAGGGAGAUGGCCUAGGAUCCUGAGCCUGUGAACCCUAGGAAAAGUGGUGCUUAGACCAUUAGUUAUCCUUCUAGUCAGCCUUCAGCAGCCAUCAUCAUUCGAAUCAAUUUUUCUUGACGAUGGAGAUUCUUUUUUUUAAAUUAAGGUUUUUAUUUGCAAAAACAUGUGCAUGGGUACUUUUUCAACACUGACCCUUGCAAAAUCUUCCGUUCCAACUUUCCCCCUCCUUCCUUCCACCCCCUCCCCUAAAUGAUGGGUAAUCCAAUACAUGUUAAAUAUGUUAAAAUAUAUGUUAAAUCCAAUAUAUGUGUAUAUAUUUAUACAGUUAUCUUGUGUACAAGAAAAAUUGAAUCAAGAAGGGAAAAAAACUGAAAAAGAAAACAAAAUGCAAGCAAAAAAACAACAGAAAGAGUGAAAAUGCUAUGUUGUGGUCUACACUCAGUUCCCACAGUCUGGGUGUAGAUGGCUCUCUUCACAAGAUUAUUGGAACUGAUCUGAAUCAUCUCAUUGUUGGAAAGAGUCACCUCCAAAGAUGGAGAUUCUUAUCCCUUCCACCAAUCUCUUCAACCAAUUGCUAUUAAUGGACAGAUGCUGUAGUUCCCCUUCCUAGAUGAUACAACUACUAAACACCUGAAUAAUAAAAUUCUUGCCACUCAUGUCCUUGGCACUAUCAAAUGGUUUGACUUCAGAAACUGAUAUUGUUUUCUUUUAUCAAUGAAGAACUAAGAAUAAGGAAAAUGCAUUACCAUCUGCUUUGCUAUUUGUAGCCUAAUGACCACGGGUCCUUCUUAUGUGAUUUACAAAAGAACUCUCCUGUAUUUGUUGUUCUUCUCUCUCUAUUAAAAAAUGAGAUCCUUGAAAGCAAGAGUUGUCUAACUUUUAUGUAUUCUAAUGCUUUGAAUCUAUUAGGCAUUUAACAAAUGUCUAAUAAUAAUAAAUUCA
Molecule: long non-coding RNA, 8395 nt
Organism: Sarcophilus harrisii (Tasmanian devil)
Lineage: Eukaryota; Metazoa; Chordata; Mammalia; Dasyuromorphia; Dasyuridae
Source: Ensembl